AAGCCAAUGAGGAUUGUAUAUCUUAUAGUUGGAAUUACCGGCUGAAUUCAUUUUGAUGUUAAACAGACUGGCUAUCUGAGGCUUCAC
Molecule: small nucleolar RNA, 87 nt
Organism: Mangifera indica (mango)
Lineage: Eukaryota; Viridiplantae; Streptophyta; Magnoliopsida; Sapindales; Anacardiaceae
Source: RefSeq, a predicted model, not a curated record